RNAcentral lists this ribosomal RNA (395 nucleotides) under Ameerega bassleri (pleasing poison frog). RNAcentral describes it as "partial 12S ribosomal RNA". It matches the Rfam family "Bacterial small subunit ribosomal RNA", at positions 789 to 1402 of the family's 1533-position model. The record is from RNAcentral. Lineage: Eukaryota; Metazoa; Chordata; Amphibia; Anura; Dendrobatidae.
ACUAUGCCUAGUCGUAAACUUUAAUCUACUCCAACAUCGCCCGGGAACUACGAGCUAAGCUUAAAACCCAAAGGACUUGACGGUACCCCAUAUCCCCCUAGAGGAGCCUGUCCUAUAAUCGAUAACCCCCGUUUAACCUCACCAUUUUUUGCCAGUCAGCCUGUAUACCUCCGUCGUCAGCUUACCACGUGAGCGUCAGUGAGCCUAAUGUUUCUCCAACUACACGUCAGGUCAAGGUGCAACAUAUAAAAUGGGAAGAGAUGGGCUACACUUUCUACCAUAGAAUAAACGAAAGACUAAAUGAAACCUAGUCAGAAGGCGGAUUUAGCAGUAAAAUGAAACUAGAGCGUUCACUUAAAUGCGGCACUGGGGUGUGUACACAMCGCCCGUCACCC